This 543-nucleotide ribosomal RNA is filed under the name Triticum aestivum (bread wheat). RNAcentral's name for it is "partial small subunit ribosomal RNA". Lineage: Eukaryota; Viridiplantae; Streptophyta; Magnoliopsida; Poales; Poaceae. The record is from RNAcentral.
AUGCUCAUAAAUUUAGUUGAUGCAGUGCUUCAGUAUCCCUUGAGUAUUCUUAAGUUGACAAUUCUCAAAUGUGUGGUCGUUAGGAGCACUGUCACUGUUGUUCGCUGGAAGGUGCCCGUCGCCCGCGCUGCCUCCAGGGGGGCGGCUCGGGCGAACCCUAGCCGCCGCCGCCCCCGACUCUCCUCUCCCCGCCGCCGCCGGAGGAGGCCGGCGAGCGAAGCUCACUUGGCUGACGGCGGUGGCGGGCUCGCCUGCGUUCCUUGCGAGGAGGCCUCCGGCUGCGGCGCGACGGCGCCCCUGGGCGUCCGACGGCGCGGUGGAUGCGGGAUGCUGGGGCGGCGGCCCCAGGGGACUCCGGCGGUGGCUGUGCCGCCACGGCUGCAGGGGCAGCGUGGGGGGCGGCCUUGGCGGCUGGUGGCGACGGAUCUCGGGCAUCCGACCCAGAUCCGGUUUCCUCCGGGUGGUGUGGGCUCGGGCGCCGACCGGCGGCCCCGAGCGGUGGUGGUUGCGCGCCUGGGUUGCUCCCUUUUCCGGCGUGGUUGA